GAGAAAAGUCCCAGGAAAUGAGUUCCGGUUGAUGGUGGGAGGGGCAGCUGAUUUCCGGUCGAAGCGCAGGCGACGAUUCUUGCGCAAGCGCGCUUCGCACAUUGCUGGCCCCUUUUUUUUUCUUUCCCCUCCCCCUCCCUCUCCCAAGCCGGAGGGGUCCUGAGGUGACAGCGCCUGCAACUGAAAUUUCAGCAGCGGGAGAAGAUGGACAAGAGAAAGCUCGGGCGACGGCCUGCUUCAUCCGAUAAGAAAGAUGUUAAAUGCAAAACCAGAGGAUGUCCAUGUUCAAUCACCACUGUCCAAAUUCAGAAGCUCAGAAUGCUGGAAUCACCCUUUGCAGGGGGUAAAUAAAAUUAAAAUUAAUUUCUUUUAAGUACAUAGUUUUAUUUGGU
RNAcentral lists this long non-coding RNA (392 nucleotides) under Rhinopithecus roxellana (golden snub-nosed monkey). Its description in RNAcentral is "lncRNA (ENSRROG00000046047.1)". Lineage: Eukaryota; Metazoa; Chordata; Mammalia; Primates; Cercopithecidae. The record is from RNAcentral.